GGGGAUAGGACUCAGUGGUAGAGUGCUUGUCUAUCAUACAUGAAGCCCUGGGUUCAAUUCCUCAGUACCA
Molecule: transfer RNA, 70 nt
Filed under: Dipodomys ordii (Ord's kangaroo rat)
Lineage: Eukaryota; Metazoa; Chordata; Mammalia; Rodentia; Heteromyidae
Rfam family: tRNA
About the family: Transfer RNA (tRNA) molecules are approximately 80 nucleotides in length. Their secondary structure includes four short double-helical elements and three loops (D, anti-codon, and T loops). Further hydrogen bonds mediate the characteristic L-shaped molecular structure. tRNAs have two regions of fundamental functional importance: the anti-codon, which is responsible for specific mRNA codon recognition, and the 3' end, to which the tRNAs corresponding amino acid is attached (by aminoacyl-tRNA synthetases). tRNAs cope with the degeneracy of the genetic code in two manners: having more than one tRNA (with a specific anti-codon) for a particular amino acid; and 'wobble' base-pairing, i.e. permitting non-standard base-pairing at the 3rd anti-codon position.
Source: Rfam by way of RNAcentral